This 134-nucleotide long non-coding RNA is filed under the name Chinchilla lanigera (long-tailed chinchilla). RNAcentral describes it as "lncRNA (ENSCLAG00000024459.1)". Lineage: Eukaryota; Metazoa; Chordata; Mammalia; Rodentia; Chinchillidae. The record is from RNAcentral.
GCUGUGACAACCCGGAAGUGGGCGGGGCGUGGUCGCUGGUCGGUUCCUGUGGAACUAGAUGGGGUUCUUGAGAAAGUGGAGAAUCUGAGACAAAACAGAACAUCGUCCUUCUUUCCAGACAUAUUGGAGUAGGC